RNAcentral lists this ribosomal RNA (441 nucleotides) under uncultured Hellea sp. RNAcentral describes it as "bacterial SSU rRNA". It matches the Rfam family "Bacterial small subunit ribosomal RNA", at positions 29 to 505 of the family's 1533-position model. Lineage: Bacteria; Pseudomonadati; Pseudomonadota; Alphaproteobacteria; Maricaulales; Robiginitomaculaceae. The record is from RNAcentral.
AACGAACGCUGGCGGCAGGCUUAACACAUGCAAGUCGAACGAGAAGCUCACUUCGGUGAGUGGAAAGUGGCAGACGGGUGAGUAACGCGUGGCAACCUACCUUUUUCUACGGAACAACAGUUGGAAACGACUGCUAAUACCGUAUGCGCCCUCCGGGGGAAAGAUUUAUCGGUGAAAGAUGGGGCCGCGUUAGAUUAGCUAGUUGGUGAGGUAAUGGCUCACCAAGGCGACGAUCUAUAGCUGGUCUGAGAGGAUGAUCAGCCACACUGGGACUGAGACACGGCCCAGACUCCUACGGGAGGCAGCAGUGGGGAAUAUUGGACAAUGGGGGCAACCCUGAUCCAGCCAUGCCGCGUGAAUGAUGAAGGCCUUAGGGUUGUAAAAUUCUUUCGCUAGGGAUGAUAAUGACAGUACCUAGUAAAGAAGCCCCGGCUAACUCCG